This is a non-coding RNA of Castor canadensis (American beaver), 3531 nucleotides long. NCBI's taxonomy places the organism in Eukaryota, Metazoa, Chordata, Mammalia, Rodentia, Castoridae. The record is from RefSeq and is a predicted model, not a curated record.
AAUACAUUUUUAACUCUGUAUUAUACAUUUAAAGUAGGUAAAUUGCAUGUGGAAAUUUUUUGUAGUAGUUGGGAUUUUUGUCAAAUCUCUAUGGACUAGGUUUGGGGGUGUGGCUCAGCACUAGAGCACCUGCUCAGUUUGAUCCCCAGCACCACCAAAAAAAAAUGAAAAAGUAAAAUCUUUAUGUAUUAAACUCAUUUCUGUGCUAAUAGUGUCUAAAAUCACCAUAUGGUGGUGAUUAGAUAGGUGGUACCUGGGAGAGAGCCAGGGCCAUUUUUAAUUUCAUUUCUUGAUUAGAAUUUGAACACUUUAUUUCCUGGAGAAUAUUAGGAAAUAUAGUCUUUUUCUUUAUGCAUUCAGCCCAUCCACUGGUUAAAACUUUUCAGAGAAUUUUGAUACUUGGUACCCCUAAACAUGUCAUUUUUUUCUUGAGUACUGUGCAGGUUCUCUUUCUAUCCAUAGCACAAAUGUUGUCUUUUCUUUUCCUCUCUCAUCUCUACUUUUUAAGGAAAAACAUUCCUUCUUAAGUAAUUUUAUCAUACACAGAUACAAAAGUGGAUUUGAUAGGUACAUUGAGCUGAACCAUUUUUUCCUCUAUGUGUUAGUUACAUAUGUUUUUCUCAGGUUGCUGCUUAAUGAGCUGCAGUAGCACUGACGAAACGAGGAUCAGCACCACAUCCCUUGUUCUUGUCCCUUACAGCUGGAAGCAGUUACUGAGAGGUUUAACAGUGAGGAAAUGAAGACCAUAAAAAACAGUCCCCUACCUAGCCCAGCAUUUACUUUUCUUACCUACGCUGAUGAAGAUGGCUUUUGAAAGGUGUACUGCAAGGAAAAAAAUGCCAUUGUAAAUUCUGCUCUUAUCAAGGUGGAUAUUGCUAUCCUUUCCUUAUGGAAAAAGUUUUAUUCUUAAUUGUUAUUUCUCAUUAAAUAUUAUCAAAAAGGAGAAAAAUUAAUGUCCUAAACUUUUCAGAUAGAUUUGGCAAUAGUGUGAAUUUUGACACCAUGGCUUCCUUCCUCCCCCAAAAAGGUGAGAGCUGACUAACUCAUGGUCACUUAGACCAUGUGGAGAAGGGAUUAAGACUGGAAGCAGAAAACAGACAUUGUCUGUACAGAGCAAAGUGCCUUACAACAGUUCACUUUAGUAGAGGGCAAUAAGUGCCACAUGAGAUGAUCCCCUCCCCUCAACACAAAACUCCUAGUUACAUCUGACUUACUUGCCUGCUCUUCUGACUUCUGUCUUUUCAUGACUCCUAAAUUAUGGAGGUAUGUGAUGAUUUAAUAUCAAUUUUAGUCAUGUGACAUUCAUUCUAAAAAAAAUUUUUUGGUGGUGAUGGAAUUUGAACUCAGGGCUUUGCACUUGCUAGGCAGGCACUGUACUGUUUGAGUCAUGCCUUCAGCUCCUAAACUAAUAUUUUAAUGUUAUUAAUUGCUAAGCACUCUUAGCAAUUUACUUUUUAUUAGCAAAUAAUAUAUACUCACUUUUGGCUAGGCUAUUUUAUUUUACUGUGCUUAAAUGUAUAGUUUGGUGUAUUCAAUGAAUUAGUGUUCUUAUACAUCUGUAUUUUCUCCUAUUUUGGCAUAGAAUUACCCAAGUAAAUUUUUAAGAGAAAAUACCUGUAAUCUUACCCCUUGAAUCAACUCUUUCAGACUGAAUUAUAUAAAGUAUCUUCAUCCAUCUUUGCAUCUACUCUAAUUCUUGUUUUUCUGCAUAUGUGUUCCCUAAGACUAUAGCUUUCCAAAUGUUUCAGUGGUUCAUUUGAGCCCAUUAGGAACUGAGAAAUGUAGGGGAAUGUAAAGACACAAUCCUAGUUCUUAUCUUCAAAGCACUCAUAGAACCUCAGAUAUCAGUGAGCAGACUUCCUUGAGGUCUUUUAUUACAAAAAGGGUGGGCCAGCUGGUGGGGUGGCUUAAGUGGUAGAGUGCCUGUCUAACAAACAUGAGGCCCUGAGUUCAAGCUCCGGUGCCACUAAAUAAAUAAAUAAAUAAACUACAAGCAAACAAAAACAAAACAGACAUUCUUCUCUUAGAAAUACUAUAGAACUUUGAGAGGUUGGCUCUCUAUGUCUGACGAAUAGCAGAGUGGGCUGGAGGCAUGGUCUGGCUCAAGCUGUGUAGCACCUGCCUAGUAAGUGUGAAGCCCUGAGUUCAAAUCCCAGUACUGCAAAUUUUUAAAAGGUUGGGGGCAUGUAAGAUGAGCUUCUCUACUUAGCUCCUUACUUAGGAACCCAGAGAAGUUCAAGUUCUUUGCAGAAGUGGUGUGAAAUUAUGAGUAAUAUGAAAUUGAAACAGUUUGUAUUUGGUAUGUUUUACCCAACUGAUAAGAUAAAAAGUCAUUUGUUUUAUGAUUUCUGUUUUUGAGGUGUUGGUGCAAAUUCAAAGAUACAGAAAACUGCCCACCUGUAUGUGUUUAGAGAAGUCUUAGGCACACUUUAGUUUUGGAAGCCAAGUCCUAUUUAUUUUGCUGCAUGUUUACUUCAUGUUUUAUUCUUUGAUAUACUAGAUACAUAUUUCCAGUUUUUACCCAUGGAGCAUUUUAGCUUUUUAGCCAUUAAAAGAUUUCAUAGUUAAGGUAAAUAGAUGAAGACAUCCUAAAUGAUGAGUUUUGGUAGAAGUUGUAUGUAGCUUUUCAUCAUUAAAAGCCCAGUAGAAGGCCUUAUACUUCUUGAGUGUAAUUCUGUGGAAAGCUGGUGGGUAAUUGUGUUUUUCUUUACUUGGUUCUUGAUAUUCCAGAAAUCUAAGUAAUUUUAACACUUCUCUUGAUUUCUUGAGAUUUUGGUUAAAAACACUAAGUCCCGAAAUGCUAGUUUAUGCCAUAUUACUCUCUUCUGUGGGUUCUUUGACUCCAGGAAAAUUUCCUAAAUUUCUUUUUGAAAUGUUCCUCUUAGUUGCUUCUACAUUACUAAACUUGCUAAACAUGCUGUUGCAGUCAACUUUCUCAGCACAUAGAAGGUUUAAAACACUCUUGGCAUUUUACCCCAGCACAGUCUCUGAUUGGAUACGUCUCUAGUAGUAUGGCUGUUUCUAUUUUUUAUGAUAGAGUAUCAGUACAGAAACUUUUAACACAAAGCUGAAUAUUGUCAGAUGUAAAUGCUAUAUAAGAGAAAUUAGAAACAGAUUAUGAUUCCCUAAACCAUAUAUUUCUCAAGUUGCUUUCCCUCAACCAUUCAGGCUCCUGAUUUCAGAUGUGCUUUCAAAGCAACCCCAAUUAGUUCCAACUUUACUAUAACCUCAGAACUCUUUGUAAUUAUAACUUAUAUGUUAAAUUCAGGCAUAAAAUUGAGCAUAGAGCUCCUUUUCAAAAAAUAUUUGUAGGAAGAACUUCCAAAAUCACUAGUAAGUGAUUGUGGUUCAAGAAUCAUAAGCUAAAUUCUUUGGUGCCUUGUCAGAAGUGAAACCGUGGGUAAUGGAAAGAAGCUGAAACAAACACAAGUGGGAGACCAGAGAAGACCCAACUAUUUAUUUAUUUUUUUAUUUUUUUGGUGGGACUGUGGUUUGAACUCAGUACUUCACUCUUUUGCAAAGCAGGCACUC